UUUAGAGUUUGAUUCCAUGGCUCAGAGCGAACGCUGGCGGCAGGCCUAACACAUGCAAGUCGAACGGAUCCUUCGGGAUUAGUGGCGGACGGGUGAGUAACACGUGGGAACGUGCCCUUUGGUUCGGAACAACUCAGGGAAACUUGAGCUAAUACCGGAUAAGCCUUUCGAGGGAAAGAUUUAUCGCCAUUGGAGCGGCCCGCGUAGGAUUAGCUAGUUGGUGGGGUAAAGGCCCACCAAGGCUACGAUCCUUAGCUGGUCUGAGAGGAUGAUCAGCCACAUUGGGACUGAGACACGGCCCAAACUCCUACGGGAGGCAGCAGUGGGGAAUCUUGCGCAAUGGGCGAAAGCCUGACGCAGCCAUGCCGCGUGAAUGAUGAAGGUCUUAGGAUUGUAAAAUUCUUUCACUGGGGACGAUAA
Molecule: ribosomal RNA, 420 nt
Filed under: Caulobacter henricii
Lineage: Bacteria; Pseudomonadati; Pseudomonadota; Alphaproteobacteria; Caulobacterales; Caulobacteraceae
Description: bacterial SSU rRNA
Rfam family: Bacterial small subunit ribosomal RNA
Source: RNAcentral